UGAAAUUGACGAUUAAUUGAUGAUAUAGAUAUAUGUAUGAAAGGUUUACUGGUACCCUGAGAAAGGGUGGAUGGACCUAUACAUAGGGAUCCCUACUGUUGACAUUACCUCAGCCGAACGGGAGUGAGAAGUCUCAUACUGGAAAGGUUUGAGAGACAUGAUUCACCCUUAUAUCAGGCGGGGUAUCAAGGCAAUGGUAUGUUUGGCGCUCAUUACCAGACGGAGAAUAGGGACGGCCGGGUUAACUAACAAAUCUAUAUAUUUGGUUCAUGAAUAUGGAAAUAUCCCUAUGGAUCCCUAAUGGUUCCAAUAAGCAGGUUGCUAAUCUUGUUCACUUGUAC
This 341-nucleotide long non-coding RNA is filed under the name Carica papaya (papaya). RNAcentral's name for it is "long non-coding RNA (CPAP_LNC008603)". Lineage: Eukaryota; Viridiplantae; Streptophyta; Magnoliopsida; Brassicales; Caricaceae. The record is from RNAcentral.